UUGACCUAAUCCCCCACCCCCACCUGGCCAGACUUUCCGCUCCCACAGGGCACCCGCUGCAGGUGUGGCAUCAGAGGGCACGCCCAGGAGCAGGGGCUGGCGGGGAUGACGGCCCGCACGGGGGAGCUGACUGAUGGGUCAGGGAACAUCCCCGCCGGCCCAGCUGCAACAAGCCUGGAGAGACGGUGAAGCCAGUGGGUGUGCGUGAGAGUCCGUUUUGUGUUUUAAAAAUGCACGUGCUUCUCUGCUCAGCAUAUCCUGGAACUGGCCUCCGGGAAGGGCGCUGGGCAGGGUGGCUGGUCGGGGACAGCGGCUCUUCUCUGAACGCCUUUCGUACGGCUUGGCCCGUUUGCCGUGCGUGGAUUGCGCAGCGGACUCUGCUGCGCCGAAAGCGGACUAGCAGCGCGCACCCUGGUGGCCGCUCGCGCCUCGUUCCCUUCGCGCCUGCUCCCGGCUGCGCCCAGGGCGGACGCGGCGCGUUCGGUUUCCCAACCCGGUAGAACCCACUCGUGAGCCGUCGGGAGGCAGAGUGUGAGAGCAGCCGGCGGUGCUGGACCGUGGCGGACCCAGGACACGAAUCGGGAAUAUCCCAGCAUAACCCACCUUAACCCAGAUGACAGCCAUGGGUGGUGAUCUACCCAGGAUGCCCUGGCCUGGAUGGACCAGCUAGGGAAACAUUCAACUGUGAGGAGAGAGCCCUUCCUAGCCCCCAGGGCCAUCUACUUCCAGCCACUCCACCGGCCUGGACCCAGCCCUGAUGCCCCUGGGCUGUCUGUGGCCCUGAAACGGAAGGGGGCACCUCACACCUCCAGCUCUGCUCCGUUCUGACCAGUGGGGCCUCUGCCUCCCAGCAGAGCCACCACGAGGAACUUCCACCUUUUCCUGACCCACGUCCAAUCCGCCAGCCAGUCCUGAGGGCCGGCUGCCCCCAUCUCAAGGCCGUGACAUCCCUGCUGCCGCCACGUGGUCCUCGCUGCCGCCAGCUCUCCGCUGGCUCCCUCCACUUCUCUGUCUCCCAGGUGGUCACCCUGCACCUGCCCCUCCUUCUCGGGUCUCUGCCGCUCCUGGAGGCUGACCUGCAGGGCUGCGCCCCUUGGGCCUCACCCUGAGCGUCUGCUUUGCUUCUCCCAACAGGAGGCCCCGGCAGGCAGUGGGGGGCUGGGACAGAGAGAGGGCGGGGAGAUUCCCUCCUUCCUGCCACGGUCCUGGCUUCCGCCUCCUGCCCGCUGCCCCUCUGGCAGGAGCCCUGUCAUGAACUCACUGUCGUUGACUUCACACCGUUCGGGUGUGUCGUCUUGUUUUUCGGGGACACCGGGGACAGCGCUGACCCACACGCCCGACAGCCCCUUUGCCCGCAACAGUGGGACAGUCUUUCUGAAAACCUGAAUCUGGGCCAGUCUCUCCCUAGCUUAAGCAGUGGACUGCUUCUGCUUCGAGAACACAGACAAAACUCUUUAUUACCAUCUACGAGGGUGUUGGUUAAAUUAGGGGUCGGGAGGUUAACUGACUGCAUUGCAUUUCUUUCCUUUCUUUUUCUCCCUUCUUUUAAUGACACUGGAGCAGAGAGAUUAGCAGAGGUAAGGGAAUAGAAAUCACCAGCACUCACAGCAGAGGCCCGAGUUAGGGGAUGGUUUUGGUAACAUGCAAGCUGGUUGAGCCAGAAGGUGAUGUCUUACUGUGGAUGCCAAAUGUUGGGGACCCCUGCCCUGCCCUCUCCCCUCUCCACAGCCCCCACUUCACCCCCACAUCCACCUGGCUCAAGGCCUCAGCUUCCUGUCAGUGCCUCAAACAUGCAGGCCCAUUCCUGCCUCAGGGCCUUUGCACCUACUCUUCUCUUGGCCUGACUGCCCUUCCGUCUGCUCUUCUCAGGGCUCCUUCUCACUCCAACAUCACCUCCUCAGAGAGGACCUCCGAGGUUGGCCCACCCGAAGCAGGUUCCCCCUGUCUUCUUUUUUCUAUCACGAGACAUUGUUCCAUCAGAAUCUCCAUGAGGACACAAAGACCUGUUGUGUGUCAGUGACUGUCCUAGCACUUUUCCUCAUCUGUAGUUACCUGUCUCCUGGCUUACCCCCUGGGAAUAAAAGCUCCCAGAAGGUAGGCCCUGGUCUCUACUGUUAACUGCACUGUCCCCAGAUAGUUCUGGGCGCACAGUAAGUGCUCAGUACAUGCCUGUGAGUGCUGCCAGGACAGGGCGGCUUUGUGGCGCUGUACUCCCAGGGUGCCUGGCGUGCCCGGCAACCCAGGAUGGGGGCUGGGAGUCAGAGGAGGGGGGUCGAGGGCCCUUGGAAUCAGACCUGCAGCCCCCCUGCCUGCCCUGGGCCCCGCGUGGCCUCCCCGCCCUCCCUGCCAUCAGCUCGCCGAGACGCACCAGGAGACCCUCAUCCGCCUCCACCGCUGGCCCUCUCGACCUUGGAAGUCGAGGCAGCACCGUCUGGCUGGAGGACGGAGGGACGCGAUGCAGCAGACCUGCUGCGAGAUUGAUGUGCAGCUUGACGCUGGUAAUAAAUCACCACGAAUCACGGGCGGGGUGGCCCUGGCCGUGUGGCCGUGGAUAAGCGGCUCCUUGUCCCACGAUGGCUUGUCCGUCACCUGGGACGGUGGCAGCGCCUGAAAUGCCAGCGUCUGCCCCCUCACCUGGUAGCCGCUCCUGAAUCCUCUUCCGAAAGCAAAGGCCUCUGGGACAGGCU
Long non-coding RNA from Physeter macrocephalus (sperm whale), 2687 nucleotides. RefSeq lists it as uncharacterized. NCBI's taxonomy places the organism in Eukaryota, Metazoa, Chordata, Mammalia, Artiodactyla, Physeteridae. The transcript has 3 exons. The record is from RefSeq and is a predicted model, not a curated record.